Molecule: unclassified non-coding RNA, 200 nt
Filed under: soil metagenome
Description: partial contains internal transcribed spacer 2 and large subunit ribosomal RNA
Source: RNAcentral
CUGUUCGAGCGUCAUUACAACCCUCAAGCUCUGCUUGGUAUUGGGCAUCACCCGUCAGGGCGUGCCUUAAAGACAGUGGCGGUGCAUCUGGCUCUAAGCGUAGUAAUUCUCUCGCUAUAGGGUCCUGUGGAUGCUUGCCAGCAACCCCAAUUUUAUCUAUGGUUGACCUCGGAUCAGGUAGGGAUACCCGCUGAACUUAA